AGCAGUCGCCGCGGUAACACGUAGGGUGCGAGCGUUAAUCGGAAUUACUGGGCGUAAAGCGUGCGCAGGCGGUUUUGUAAGACAGGCGUGAAAUCCCCGGGCUCAACCUGGGAAUGGCGCUUGUGACUGCAAAGCUAGAGUGCGGCAGAGGGGGAUGGAAUUCCGCGUGUAGCAGUGAAAUGCGUAGAUAUGUGCAGGAAUGCCGAUGGCGAAGGCAAUCCCCUGGACCUGUACUGACGCUCAUGCACGAAAGCGUGGGGAGCAAACAGGAUUAGAUACCCCCGUAGUCCCUGUCUCUUAUAC
RNAcentral lists this ribosomal RNA (303 nucleotides) under uncultured bacterium. RNAcentral describes it as "partial 16S ribosomal RNA". It matches the Rfam family "Bacterial small subunit ribosomal RNA", at positions 507 to 807 of the family's 1533-position model. The record is from RNAcentral.